CGUAGGGAGCAAGCGUUGUCCGGAUUCACUGGGUGUAAAGGGUGCGCAGGCGGAUUUGUAAGUCAGAGGUGAAAUCUCACGGCUUAACCGUGAAACUGCCUUUGAUACUGCAGAUCUUGAGUUUGGGAGAGGUUGAUGGAAUUCCAGGUGUAGCGGUGAAAUGCGUAGAUAUCUGGAAGAACACCAGUGGCGAAGGCGGUCAACUGGCCCAUAACUGACGCUCAGGCACGAAAGCGUGGGUAGCAAACAGGAUUAGAUACCCUGGUAGUCCACGCCUUAAACGAUGAUUACUUGGUGUUGGUUCUUAAUGAAUCAGUGCCGGAGGUAACCUGGUAAGUAUUCCACCUGGGGAGUACGCUCGCAAGGGUG
This 369-nucleotide ribosomal RNA is filed under the name uncultured organism. RNAcentral's name for it is "bacterial SSU rRNA". It matches the Rfam family "Bacterial small subunit ribosomal RNA", at positions 526 to 896 of the family's 1533-position model. The record is from RNAcentral.